RNAcentral lists this long non-coding RNA (564 nucleotides) under Physcomitrium patens. RNAcentral describes it as "long non-coding RNA (PPAT_LNC005944)". Lineage: Eukaryota; Viridiplantae; Streptophyta; Bryopsida; Funariales; Funariaceae. The record is from RNAcentral.
UAGGAUUUGAUUUAGGAUUAGGAUUUGAUUUAGGGUUAGGAUUUGGUUAAGAUUUGAUUUAGGAUUAGGAUUUGGUUAAGAUUUGAUUUAGGAUUUGGGAUUUGAUUUAGGGUUUAGAAUUUGGUUAGGGUUUAAUUUAAGAUUUAAGAUUUGAUUAGGAUUUAGGAUUUAGUUAGGGUUUAGAGUUUGGUUAGGAUUUGAUUUAGGAUUCAGAGUUUGAUUUAGGAUUUAGAAUUUGGUUAGGAUUUGAUUUAGAAUUAAAGAUUUGAUUAGGAUUUGAUUUAGAGUAUAGGAUUUGGUUUAGGAUUUGGUUUAGGAUUUAGGAUUUGAUUUAGGAUUUAAAAUUUGGUUAGUGUUUGAUUUAGGAUUAGGAUUUGAUUUAAUAUUAAGAUUUAGUUAGAAAUUGAUUUAGAAUUUAGGAUUUGAUUAAGAUUUGAUUUAGGAUUUAAGAUUUUAUUAGAGUUUAUUUAGGGUUUAAGAUUUAGUUAGUUUUUGGCCUAAAGUUUGAAUGAAGUCUAAUAGAAUUUAAUUAAGAUUAAAUUAAGAUUGAAUUGAUAUGUAUUU